This 373-nucleotide ribosomal RNA is filed under the name uncultured organism. RNAcentral's name for it is "partial 16S ribosomal RNA". It matches the Rfam family "Bacterial small subunit ribosomal RNA", at positions 527 to 896 of the family's 1533-position model. The record is from RNAcentral.
GUAGGUGGCAAGCGUUGUCCGGAAUUAUUGGGCGUAAAGCGCGCGCAGGGCGGUCCUUUAAGUCUGAUGUGAAAGCCCACGGCUCAACCGUGGAGGGUCAUUGGAAACUGGGGGACUUGAGUACAGAAGAGGAAAGCGGAAUUCCAAGUGUAGCGGUGAAAUGCGUAGAGAUUUGGGGGAACACCAGUGGCGAAGGCGGCUUUCUGGUCUGUAACUGACGCUGAGGCGCGAAAGCGUGGGGAGCAAACAGGAUUAGAUACCCUGGUAGUCCACGCCGUAAACGAUGAGUGCUAAGUGUUAGGGGGUUUCCGCCCCUUAGUGCUGCAGCUAACGCAUUAAGCACUCCGCCUGGGGAGUACGGCCGCAAAGGCUG